UUGCACAAUCACCCCUGCAUUUUUCGCCCGACUGACGCGCACACCAGCUGACAGGAGCAUUACGUUCCGCGAAAUCCCCCGAGACAAAAUCUUAAUCCGUAGCAGUAGUACUGCCCCGUACACAUCUUAAAUCAUCCAUGACUUUCAGUCACCAGGAGGACAUGUACACGCUACAACACUACACCCUGAUCGAACACGUACCACGACGACGACCCACGCGAAAUUAUUACCUAGACCCGUUCCAUUGGCACAUCGCCGGCUGGCCCAAUGAUCCAUGGAACAACGGGUCUACGUGAUAAUUCCAUUUUGAUCAACUCACACGUACUGUCACACACACUCGAUCACACGUACGAAAUUAAGAACAAGAACACGCAAGCAAUGCAAGUAGAGGGCUAGCUCGAUCGCGGCGACGACCGGUUGUAGUGGAGGGGCUAGCUUUUGGAAUUUUGAUUAGCUAGAGCGUCAUGGCGACCACGGCCAGGUCAGCUAGCUAGCUCGGCUCCGGCCGGCGACACGCGCGCGAGGUAAGAGUGGUCGUCAGCCGCGAUGCUUGCCCUUGCUCUUGCCGGCGCCGGCUUGGCGCGGGUCGGCGGCCGCGUCGUUGAAGUCGAGGAGCACGGUGCUGUGGCACUUGGGGCACUUGGGGUCCUCCCGCGACAGCAUCACGUACAUCAUGCACCGGGGGCACCCGGCCAGGAUCAUCCCGGACGCGCCGCCGCCAGCUUCCGGGCUCCCCUCCGACGACACGCACGAGCUUGGCGGCGAAGGCGUCGUCGUGGACGACGACGACGACGACGACAGCCUCCUCGGCGGGCUGCUCCC
RNAcentral lists this long non-coding RNA (822 nucleotides) under Oryza brachyantha (malo sina). RNAcentral's name for it is "long non-coding RNA (OBRA_LNC001464)". The record is from RNAcentral. Lineage: Eukaryota; Viridiplantae; Streptophyta; Magnoliopsida; Poales; Poaceae.